GAUGAACGCUGGCGGCGUGCCUAAUACAUGCAAGUCGAGCGAACAGACCAGGAGCUUGCUCCUCUGACUUUAGCGGCGGACGGGUGAGUAACACGUGGAUAACCUAACUAUAAGACUUGGAUAACUUCGGGAAACCGUAGCUAAUACCGGAUAAUAUAUUGAACCGCAUGGUUCAAUAGUAGAAUACGGUUUUUCUGUCACUAAUAGAGGGAUCAGCACCGCAUUAGCUAGUUGGUAAGGUAACGGCUUAGCAAGGCAACGAUGCGUAGCCGACAUGAAAGGGAGAACGGUCAGCCUGUAUGUGAGACUGGGCAGAGACUCCUACGGGAGGCAGCAGUAGGGAAUCUUACGCAAUGGGCGAGAGCCUGACGUAGCAACGCCGCGUGAGUGAUGAAGGUCUUCGGAUCGUAAAGUUCUGUUAUUAGGGAAGAACAAAUGUGUAAGUACCUAUGCUCGUCUUGACGGUACCUAAUCAGAAAGCCACGGCUAACUCCGUG
RNAcentral lists this ribosomal RNA (497 nucleotides) under uncultured bacterium. RNAcentral describes it as "partial 16S ribosomal RNA". It matches the Rfam family "Bacterial small subunit ribosomal RNA", at positions 28 to 507 of the family's 1533-position model. The record is from RNAcentral.